Molecule: small RNA, 127 nt
Filed under: Marmota monax (woodchuck)
Lineage: Eukaryota; Metazoa; Chordata; Mammalia; Rodentia; Sciuridae
Source: RNAcentral
GCUGGACAUGGUGGUGCAUGCCUGUAAUCCCAGUGCUUCAGGAGGCUGAGGCAGGAGGAUUGAGAGUUUGAUGCCAGCCUUAGCAACUUAGUAAGGUCCUAAGAAACUCAGCAAGACCCUGUCUUUA